RNAcentral lists this long non-coding RNA (1099 nucleotides) under Parus major (Great Tit). RNAcentral's name for it is "lncRNA (ENSPMJG00000000914.1)". The record is from RNAcentral. Lineage: Eukaryota; Metazoa; Chordata; Aves; Passeriformes; Paridae.
UUUAUGUCUAUUGCAUUAUGCCUGAAUAAUUUUCAGUCUUUUUUUUUUUCCUCUCCUCUUGCACGCACAUGCUAAAAUAACUAGACAAAGAUGCAAGGUGGUUGCUGCAGUCCCUGUCUCUAGGACAGAACCAAGAAAGCUUGUGAUUGCAAUACCACCUUUCCUUUUUUUUUUUUUUUUCCUCCUUUUUUUUUCUUCCCUAGCCAUGCUUGGUGAUUAAACUUCCUCAGGAUGGGGAAGAAAAAGGAGCUGGAAAUGAAAUAGGGUUGAGGAAAAAUCCCAUUGCAGCAGCUGCAGCCAGUGGUGACUGCUGCCAGAUGUGCGAAGGUUCCUGGGGUCCUUGUCACUAAAAGGCAGUAUUCAAAUAUUUGGAGACAAAAGCUGCAUCCUCAGUGAUCAUUUUCUUUAUUUAACAUGGCAGCAGGCAUCGUGUGGGGAAAAAUCAACAUGCUGGAUGUUGAAUCGGACUUUUAUCCUUUCUGGGAUGAAAGGAUGUUAUCUAUCCCGUGCCAAGAGGGAACUGAGAGCAAUGAACAUAUGGCUGUUACUAUCAGCGCUGGUGUAUUUGCGGCGAUGCCUAUCAACAUCCACCAGAGAGCAGGGCAGCUCCAAAACCCACAUCUUUUAUGCUGUGGAAAUUGAUGGAGACAGCAGCACAGCCAGCUUCUUGGCCAAACAACAUGGAAUGCAGUUCAUUUCAAAGGUCAGCGCAUAUUUAAACUUGCUUCAUUACUCCCACCUUUAUGCUUGAGAUUUUCAUUUUUUUAAAAUCAGUUUACCUAGAGGUUCCUUUAGAGACAGAAAAAUGAAAGUGCUGAAUCCUAUUUUCAUUUGGGGAUAUCAAGCUUUUUAUCAAAUUAUAGAGGUGGCGUUUCAGAAUAUUUCAUAUCUGAUCAGAAGGAAAAUCCAAAAAUAAUUUUCUCUUUAUUCAAGAGUCUUUCAGCCACUGGGACUGUUUUAUUUAUUACUUAAUAUUGUGCUCCAGUCAAUCAUUUUGAAUUCAGACAGGAAAAUGGAAUUUUUAUUUUUAAAAGGAAAAAAUCCAGAGGAAAAAUGCUGUUGGAAUAAAGAAGAUUUUAUUAUUUUAAAAGUAAAAGUA